CUAGGGCAGGAUGAGGUUGAGUUCUGUUACUUUCCCACUCUACAUUUCCAGAUCUUUCUGCUUCCUUAAUCAGAGAUUUGAAACAGGUCGUGAAGCUGGACCUCUCUUAUCAAGCUAAAUAACACCUGGAGGGAAACUUUUAACACACUUCACUUAGCUCAAUCCUCAUCAAAUCUAAAUGCGUCUGGCACAAAGAGUCUGUCUUCUGGACCCUUCUUUGCUGAGCCAUGAGUCUAUUAAUGGCACUCCAAGGAAAACAAGUUUGGAGACCAAACAGGAAAGCGCUGGAUUUGUACCAGUUUCUACGGCAGACGGAGCGAGCUGUGUGGUAUCAUGUGGAUCCAGUGCAAGGGAUCCCUCCAUCAACACGUGGAGGAGAACAGAACAGGUGGCCUUUAGCCAGAGGGGAUUUGGAAGCACUCACAGAAACACCCCUCUCAUUCAUCUCACUGCACAUACUGUUCUGGGUUUAGAUUUUCACCUCAGCCUGCACAGGUUCCCGUUCUCACUUCAAAAGAAUAAAUAAGCACUUCACCCACCUUAAAACUGAAAAUGUAUUUGAUAAAGUAUUUUUAUGACUACUUUUAUGCAUUUGGCAUAGCCUUUAAAGCGGUUUGUAGUAGAUUUAAUGUACGCAUUAUCGUUUUUUGUGUCCAUAGGAAAUCAAUCCCACAACCUUGCUCUUGCUACCACAACGCUCCACCAGUUGAGUUACGGGAACCAAGGCCUAAAAGAUUAAAAAACAUUCAGUCAUAAUAACUUUAAAAUUAAAUGGGCCGAUGUUCGCAUUGUCAGAAUUUUUUUCGAAUGACAGUAAAUCAGUAUUAUAUAAUAGA
Long non-coding RNA from Puntigrus tetrazona (Sumatra barb), 836 nucleotides. RefSeq lists it as uncharacterized. Lineage: Eukaryota; Metazoa; Chordata; Actinopteri; Cypriniformes; Cyprinidae. The transcript is spliced from 3 exons. The record is from RefSeq and is a predicted model, not a curated record.